This is a long non-coding RNA of Gasterosteus aculeatus aculeatus (three-spined stickleback), 897 nucleotides long. The record is from Ensembl. Lineage: Eukaryota; Metazoa; Chordata; Actinopteri; Perciformes; Gasterosteidae.
UGCAGACAGAAGAAAGACUUGUGUUCGUUGGGUUCAGUGAACACGUGCAGCUCACACGGCGGCGGGAAAACGUUCAGUUUGACUGUAGUGGAUAAAAUUCAAGAAAAUGCAGCCAGGCAACGUGGAGAAAUUUAAGAAACAGUCCCUGCAGAAGACGUGCAAGCAGUCCACAGCCAGAGUGAGAGCAGAGUGCCAUGGAAGGUGAAUCAGUUGGACGAACAGAUCCAUCAAAAGGACACUGAAAUUGGAGGAGAAGAUCAGCGAAGACCUGCACCUGAAACAACAGGGCUGACUGACAGAAGAAGGUGAGCGGGUGGAGAAACAGACCCGCUAGGGACACUUCCAUCCUGGAUCUCAUCAAGGCAAAGGGAAGUCUGCGAGGAGCUCACACCACACACAAGCUGAGCAGCAAAUUAAUUCCUCCAGAGUGAGGAGGCCCGGCCGGAUUCAAACAGGUGCCGGACGCGAAGACGGUCCUGGAGGAUUUAAAAAUGAAGAAGAAGAAGGAGAAGAGCAGGACCGGCUUCUUUGGCAAACAGAUGGAGGAUCAACAGGACAAGUCGGAGAAAAUAAGAAGUGUCCGAGAAGGAGAUGAAAAACAAAGAGCAGCAUGAGAAGGUGGGAAAAGGAAGGAGGAGAAGAUGUACACAGGGCUUUUCCUGCCAGAUGCGUUACCGCAACAGAAAGGUGGAGGAGGCUCUUCAGCCGAGGUUGGACAUCUUCCUCCAUCUACAUUUCCACCCUUUCCAUCCAUGCACCUUCCUCUUCAACCUCCAGUAAAUAUAUUAAAUAGGGACAGAAAUAAAUGACAAAAGAAACAUAAAUCGAUGAUUGGAAAUAUAUGAAAUAAAAUAAAAAUAAAUAAAAUAAAUUAGAGAAAAUUGCAUGGUAUUGAAA